This 8905-nucleotide long non-coding RNA is filed under the name Capsicum annuum. Its description in RNAcentral is "long non-coding RNA (CANN_LNC003238)". The record is from RNAcentral. Lineage: Eukaryota; Viridiplantae; Streptophyta; Magnoliopsida; Solanales; Solanaceae.
AUUCUUUCAAUUUACCAUAAGACUUCCUAAGAAGAUGUACAUUACAACACGCUCGGUAUAUACCAAUUGCUCCAAAUAGAUGUAUUUAGACCUUUAUUAUAACUAUUAAUAAUGGCAUAUGGUUAUAUAAAAUGCUUGCAUAUGCCCUCGUCUCUUGACAAUAUGGAAAAUGUUACUUAGUAUACAAUCCAAGGUAAAAUAAAUAAUGAGAAGUUAAUAAGGGGUGAAAGUGAAACAAACACAUUUAUUCAUCCAGUGAUGAAAUUCAUAGAUUAAUUAGAUUUUAUGAAACGAAAUUCCUAACACACAUCUCCUCAAUUCACCAUUUUUAAAUAAAUGGUUCCAUAUAUAUUAUUGAAUUAACUAAGAAGAUCAGGCCUGGUUCUUUCAACAGCCAAACAAGUGCUAAGCAAUUUCUUACUACCCUGAUAGAAAGUUGCAAAUUCAGCUGGCAUUGGUGUUUUCUUGAAUUCACCUUUACAAUCAUCCAAUCUUGUCAUUGCUGCUGAUAUUUUGAUGUUUGCACUUUUAGUUUUGUCACCUGUUUUCAACAACUCUUCUACCUCUUUCAAUGUCUCGAGAGCAUCAUUAUAUGAUUCUUUGCACCCUUUCCCAAUCUUAUUUUUUAAUUUUUGAUCUGUUGUUGGUGGCAAUUUUGCUAGCAUAUUUGCCAUAAUUGGCUCUGCCAAUUUAAUUUGCAUAAUUGUCUCUGACAACACACCAGUAAUUGCCUCUUGCCAUGUGUUAGCUGCCUUGACAACUUCAUUGCAAAAGGGCUUGUCUAAGGCUUUCACACAAAAUGGGCUUUCUUUGUAUGCUGGGGCUUCUUGUGCACUUGAUUGACAUGCAAAUAAAACACAAGUUAAAGCCAGAGAGACCAAUGACAAAGUAACCCCAUUUCUAUAAGACAUUUUCUAUUUUUUAUAUUGAUUUUUUUUUUUGCAAUUGUGAUUAUGUUUUUUUUUUUUUGUCACUUUUCUAAGAUGGUCUUCUCUGGGUUAAAUUUGAAAUGAAGAGGUAAAAAGUAUAUAUAAGUUUGUUUGGAACGGUAAUUGGGUGGAUGUUUGGAAUAUAUGGCUUGCAUUAUUUUGCUCUUUUGUUGUUGAAUUUUCCACAGCAUAAUGAGCACAUUUAUGAAUUAACUAGGAGUAGUUGUUUAUUCUCCCUCCGUUUAAAAAAGAAUAACCUACUUUGACUUGAUACAAAGUUUAAGAAAAAAAAAAAAACUUUUGAAUCUUGUGGCCUUAAAUUAAAGUUGUAUCAAAUGUAUCAAAAUGUCCUUUAAUCUUAUGAUCCUAAAUAUUAGAUAAAAUAUUAACCUAAAUAAUAAUAAUAAUAAUAAUAAUAAUAAUAAUAAUAAUAAUAAUAAUAAUAAUAAUAAUAAUAAUAAUAAUAAUAAUAAUAAUAAUAAUAAUUAGUAGAAAUUUACCAAAAAAAAUAGUAGAAGAAGCAGCAAUACAUGAGAUAUAAUAACAAUAAUAAUAAUAAUAUAAUAUUUUUAAAAAUUAAUAUUUUUAAUAAAAAAUGAUAAAAGAGAACAAAAAGGGAAAAAUAUAUGAAAAAUAAUAAUUAGUAGAAGUUUACCAAGAAAAAAAUAGUAGAAGAAGCAGCAAUACGUGGGAUAUAAUACUACUACUACUACUACUACUACUACUACUACUACUACUACUACUACUACUAAUAAUAAUAAUAAUAUAAGUAAAAAAUUAAUAUUAUAUGAAAAAAAUUAAAAUAAAUUGAUAGUAAUAUUUUAAUAUUGAUAACAUUAAUUUGAAAUAUUCUAUUUUAUUACAUUUAUUUUUAUUAUAGAAAAGUUAAUAUUUUUAAUAAAAAAUGAUAAAAUAAAAUAAAUAGGGAAAAAUAUGAAAAAAAUUAAAAUAAAUUGAUAGUAAUAUUUUAAUAUUGAUAACAUUAAUUUGAAAUAUUCUAUUUUAUUACAUUUAUUUUUAUUAUAGAAAACACCUAAUUGGUAUCAUUAAUUUCAAAUAUAUAAUUUUUGCAAACUCAAAAUAUCGAAUACUGUAAGAUAAUUAUGUCAUUUUAGAGUCAUCUUUCUAGUAUUCUAAAAAUUUUAAAAUCUUGAAUUUGAAAUGCAUUAUCUUUUUUUUCUAAAAUAAAAAAAAAUCAUUAUCAUUAACUUGAAAUUAGGAACAUAAGCUUAUCCCUUUCAAAUCCCUUUCAAAUAUAAUUUAAAAUAUAUUCAAAUAUUAAAUAAAAAAUAAAAUACUAAUCUAAAUAAUUUAUAUAUAUAUAAAAGCAAAACUAAAAGCAGACAAGAUGCCACAUGACAGCACAAUAGAAAGCCACAUGACAGUUUUUAAGACAAGGUUAUAAAUAUUGUAAUAAAAUUUUGAAUUAAAAUAUAAGAUGUUUGUAUUUAAAAAUAUUGAUUUUAUUUAAAAAUUAUCAUUAGCUUGAAAUUAGGAACAUAAGCUUAUCCCUUUCAAAUAUAAUUUAAAAUAUAUUCAAAUAUUAAAUAAAAAAUAAAAUAUUAACCUAAAUAAUAAUAAUAAUAAUUAGUAGAAGUUUACCAAGAAAAAAAUAGUAGAAGAAGGACCAGUACGUGAAAUAUAAUAAUAAUAAUAAUAAUAAUAAUAAUAAUAUAAGAUUUAAAAAAUUAAUAUUUUUAAUAAAAAAUGAUAAAAGAGAACAAAAAUGGAAAAACAUAUGAAAAAUAAUAAUUAGUAGAAGUUUACCAAUAAAAAAAUAGUAGAAGAAGUAGCAAUACGUGGGAAAUAAUAAUAAUAAUAAUAAUAAUAAUAAUAAUAAUAAUAUAAGUUAAAAAUUAAUAUUUUUAAUAAAAUAUGAUAAAAGAGAAUAAAAAGGGAAAAAUAUGAAAAAAGUUAAAAUAAAUUGAUAUUAAUAUUUUAAUAUCGAUAACAUUAAUUUGAAAUAUUUUGUUUUAUUAAAUUUAUUUUUCUCUAUAAUAUAUUACAAUUCAAAUUAAUCUCUAAAUAAUAUUAACUCAUUAUAAUUAUUUUCUAAAUUCUAUAAAUAUUUUGUUUCUAGUAGAAAACUAUUUUCCCCACAUUUAAACAUUUUUAUCAAAUUUUUUAAAUCAAAAUGAUGGGUAUUUUAGAUGACUAUAUAUCUUCGACAUGUUAGUAUCAUUGAGGUUAUACUUGAUUAAUGGUAAGGAUAUUUUAAUAUAUUUUUACAAAUUUUCAAUAAAUUAACACUACAAAAUUUGAGAGUUUUCAUUACUUUUUUUAUAUUUUAUUUUAUUAUGCCACAUAAAUUAAGAUGGGAUGAGAUGAUAAUUAGAAUAUAUCCAAAAUACAUAUAUUUUUUUAGUUAAAGUAUACAAAUAAAAAUAAAUGCGAAUACAAAAUCAAACAAAAGUCAAAGAAAUCAAAGCUGACCCAAAGCAAAUAAAGUAAAGGAUCGGAUUAUGGUCCAAUAAUUUUAAAAAUACAAGAAAAAUAUAAAUUAGGAAAGUAAACAAAUAUUAUUUGUUUUUGUCUGAACUCCAGAAGGUUCCUUUGAAAUUCUAUCUUUCCGCAAACAUUUUCUUUCUAUUAUGAUACUACAUAUUAUUUUAGCAAAAAAUUGAUGAAUAAGCUGAAAUUAUGAAGCUCAAAAUUAAACUUUUAUAGACCAAAUACUGAAGAGUAUGUUCCUACUAUAUUCAUUGAAUAACGGUGUGUCAAGCUUCGCUUGUAAUUCCAUCUUCUUUCCCUGUUUUCUUUAUUUUUGUUUACGCUUUAACCUGUUUGAAGAUUUGAUUUUCUUAACCGUUUUUUGCUUUAUAUUUUGUAUGUUUUGAUCUCUUAAAAUCACUGUUGCAUUAUAUGUUCUUAGUUUUGAUUUUUUGUUCCUCCUUUUGAUUUGUAUGUUCGAAGAUUUCAUUUUUUUAAAUUCAUUCUGAUUUAAUUUCUUGUUUCAGGUGCGAUUUGCUUGAUAUUUACAUAUAAUAUGUGUCAGGUAUGCUUAAUGUUGCCAAUUUUGAAUAUCCUGAUGUUUGCAUGUCAGCUCAGAUACUUGAAUUUGAGAAGAUACCAGAGGCCUCUAUCCUUUCAUCCCUUGGAUGGACCACGUCAAAUAAUAGAAGAUAUAUAUUUUUGUUAAAAAAAUACACAUCCUCAGAACUAUAUGUAAAUAAAACAACGAAUAACAUUAGAUGAUUGACUUUUAAUGUUGUUGAAUGCGUAGGUGAACGUCCAAUCAAAACCUUAAUCUACAUGCAUAUUUAAUAGCUAUGAGACUCCAUCGUUCGCCCUUACCAAUUAUCUGUUCUAUUUUUAAUUUUUAAUUAAUAAAACAUUCCUCAGCGCCGUCUAAGAAGUCCUAACAUACCUUGAAUGCUGAACACAUACCACGAACCCUCAAGAUUUCACCCUUUUCUUUCCCAAAAUUUCAAAACAUUCUCAAUCUAUCAAAUAUAUUAUUCAUAAGUAAGAGAAUUCAAUUUAUAAUUGAAUUUCAACCAUGAUAUCAUUUCACAUGUCAAUUUCAUAUUUUGUAAAUUUCAAACUUAGGGCUUCGUCUCAAGUUACUCCAAAUCUCAUACAUUUAACAAUGUUCAUAGAGUACAAUAUAUCUAAUAUUUAAUUACACAUGCUAAAUAUUAAAACUUAAAUCGUAAUAUGAUAACUAUAAGAAAAUCUGAAAUCAGAAAAUGAUACAGUACCUAAAAUAAUAAGUCAAUGCUUGAUUAUAUCCCUAUUUACAAGUUUCAUAAUAUCAGUUUUAACUAAUCAUUAGCUCAUGAUUUUCCAUCAUAAUCCCUUCAAUCAUUGUCCAUCCUUAGCCAUCCAAAAACUGGCUAAGUUUUCCAUCCAAAAAAAGUGUGUUGCACUUCUGUCACUUCCACACAACCAUUACUUAGAGUUAUACAUUCAAAUCAAUAUAAGAAAUAAUUAUGUGUAUACAUUUUAGCAGUUAGUGUAUAUGAACAGAAAUUUGAGGUUUGAUUAGAUUCAUCUGAAACAACAAUUUUAAAUUUUUACAACUAUUUUCGUCCGUCUUCUCUUGCAUUCAGAUAAAUUUAGUAUAUAAAUUUUUACUUGAUAUAUUAAUUAUAUUAAAGUACAAUAAAGAAUAGACAAAUCAAACAUAUAUCUUUGUAAAAAGAAAGUACUUGUUUUAUAAUUAUAUGAAAAUACAACAAAGGAUAGCAUGUGUUUCCUACCCUUUUAAUAUUGAUGAAUGCACAGAUAGUCGUUCAAGAAAAAUCCAAACCUAGAAGUACACCUAAUAUCUGCAACGACAACAAUCUAACUACCCGGAGAACUUACCCUUACCCUACAAUUAGUAUUCUUAUCGGGUAAGAGAUUAUUUAAUAGAUUCUCAGCUUAAGAAAUAAUAAUAUUAAUAAUUAAAAAAAUUAAAGAAUAAAUUAACAAACUUACCGCAAAAUUUGUACUAACCUAAAAUAGUUGUCAUCACAAUAUUUUGCGGAGAAAUUUUGACUUUUUGAGAGUCGUCACUUAAUUUCUGAAAAGGAAUUAAGAAACCUUUAGAGAGUUACUUCAAACAAUUCAAAACAGGAAAACGUUUGAGUUUUGAAGAUUCUGAGUAAGCAGUUCCUAUUAACAUUUUAGGAAGGUGUUAGGCACCUAAAACGUCCGCUAACUUGCGGUUAUCCAAUUUGUUUGAAAAUCAUCUCUUUUGACAAACUUGAAAAUCGACUUGUGGGAAAAGUAAUUGAUUAAGGAAAUUUUUUUUUGCAAAAUCAGUUUUUUAGCGACUUAGUGAGGAGGUUAACUAUAUUCGAACACUAAGCAAAUAAAAUAACGAAAGAGAAAUAGAGGAAGAAAUAAAUGAUUUGGGCCUUCAUACCCAAAUCCGUCACCCUGUCUUAGUCUAGAUAUUGGGCUUUCGGCCCGUCUUUCACCUGUCCUAGUCUGUAUUUCGAGCCUUUGGCUUUAGUAUUGCUCCACCUGUAUUAAAUUUACAACUUUGACUUCGAGGCCCAAAUGAAUGAAUGAAUGAAUAAAUAAAUAAAUAAAUAAAUAAAUAAAUAAAUAAAUAAGUAAAUAAAUAAAUAAAAGACGAUAAUAAAUUUAUAAAAUGAAAUAAUAAAUGAGACUUUUAUCUCUUAACCACUUCAAAGAUGGAACUUUAACUCAUUCUUCUUCUUUUGACUCUUUACACUCAUAUGCCGCGGAAAACGCUUUAGACUUCUUUUGGGCUUUAACUCGAAAUUAAUCACUUAUUUCUGCAGCUCAUGAUUUCUUAAAGUCGAGUUUAAGGAAUGGUCUAAAACAAAAUUAGUGGCUUUGAUACCAUUUCAAAGAGUCUAAUCACAAAUCUUAAAUAAUUUGUGAAGUUAUCCCCGACCAUUAUAAGUCCCUUCAAAAUUCUUACUGUUCUGUCUCUGUUUUGCUUCAAGCAUUUAAUUUAUAAAAUUAACUAGCUUGAUUAAAUUAAUUACAUACAGUAGGAGGUUUAAUUUUAGAGCUCUCAAAUAUUGAAGAAGAUCCAAAUUUCUAAAAAUCAAAUUUGAGACCUCUAUCUAAUAAGGUAUUAGAAACCUUUAAUUAGCCAUAUGAGUCAUCAACCCUUUGGUAGCACUAGACUUCUUAUUGUGAGCUAAGUUCAAAGUAUAUUUGAUAUCAACACAAUAAUUUUAGAGAACUCUCAUGUUCUUUUUUCUCACAAUUAAAAUUAGGAUUAGAUUGUGGUAUAGAAUAAUCCGAUAUACUGUAACAAUCACUAUCAAUUAGUUAGUAAUACAGGUCAAAGAGGUAUCUUAGCAUUCGAGGACAUGAAGACGUGAGGGAACACCUGAGCUUGUGGAGCUGCCUAACCAAGGAACAAGCUUUGAAGUGUAGAGAACAAGUCCCAGCACUCCAAAGCUGUCCAAGAAGUCAAGCCCCUUUGUUUGGGCUCAUUAAGGACCUUUAGGUCAUUUAUGUAACAAGUGUUGCCCUAACUUAUAAAUAGAACAAUUGGAUCAUUUUGUCAUUUAGACUUUGAUGAUAUGUUUUGAGAGCACCAUAGAGUGUCUUGUAAAGUGGAAUCCUUGUGUUGGUAACUUGCUUAGAAACGUUGGUUGUUUGGGGAUUCCAGUUCCCUUGAGUUCACGUAAGAGAUAGGUUUAUGUUGUGUGUGGUAUUAAAGGUUCAAGAGUAGAAUAAGGUCUUAGGUUGUUAAUAUUACAUCUCCAUUUGUCUAUCUUUCUAUCUUUACUUUGUUCUAAUUGUUGGUCUUCUUGUUCUAGUAUUGUAACCCGUGACUUGUUGUCAUUGUUAUAUCCUUCUUGUUAUUCAUCUGGUCUUCAUAUUGUUGUUGUUAAUCUUACUUUGGGUUGGUUGUUUCGGUGUUAAAACACACCUUUUACUCGUCAUUAUUGUUGUUAUUGUUGAAUCCGAGUGUGGUCUCUAAACGGUCCUUGAAUUUUCGGAUUUGUGGACUGUUUUGAGUGUGUUUUCUUGUAUUCUUGAUAAUUCCGGGAUCGGUUAGUGAGUCUAGCUUCGGUUUGUACACGUGAGUUCUCAUUAUAUGAUUUAUUAUGUGUGAUCUAAUAAAAUUAGACUAAAUUACGUGUAUUCUUUCAAUUUACCAUAAGACUUCCUAAGAAGAUGUACAUUACAACACGCUCGGUAUAUACCAAUUGCUCCAAAUAGAUGUAUUUAGACCUUUAUUAUAACUAUUAAUAAUGGCAUAUGGUUAUAUAAAAUGCUUGCAUAUGCCCUCGUCUCUUGACAAUAUGGAAAAUGUUACUUAGUAUACAAUCCAAGGUAAAAUAAAUAAUGAGAAGUUAAUAAGGGGUGAAAGUGAAACAAACACAUUUAUUCAUCCAGUGAUGAAAUUCAUAGAUUAAUUAGAUUUUAUGAAACGAAAUUCCUAACACACAUCUCCUCAAUUCACCAUUUUUAAAUAAAUGGUUCCAUAUAUAUUAUUGAAUUAACUAAGAAGAUCAGGCCUGGUUCUUUCAACAGCCAAACAAGUGCUAAGCAAUUUCUUACUACCCUGAUAGAAAGUUGCAAAUUCAGCUGGCAUUGGUGUUUUCUUGAAUUCACCUUUACAAUCAUCCAAUCUUGUCAUUGCUGCUGAUAUUUUGAUGUUUGCACUUUUAGUUUUGUCACCUGUUUUCAACAACUCUUCUACCUCUUUCAAUGUCUCGAGAGCAUCAUUAUAUGAUUCUUUGCACCCUUUCCCAAUCUUAUUUUUUAAUUUUUGAUCUGUUGUUGGUGGCAAUUUUGCUAGCAUAUUUGCCAUAAUUGGCUCUGCCAAUUUAAUUUGCAUAAUUGUCUCUGACAACACACCAGUAAUUGCCUCUUGCCAUGUGUUAGCUGCCUUGACAACUUCAUUGCAAAAGGGCUUGUCUAAGGCUUUCACACAAAAUGGGCUUUCUUUGUAUGCUGGGGCUUCUUGUGCACUUGAUUGACAUGCAAAUAAAACACAAGUUAAAGCCAGAGAGACCAAUGACAAAGUAACCCCAUUUCUAUAAGACAUUUUCUAUUUUUUAUAUUGAUUUUUUUUUUUGCAAUUGUGAUUAUGUUUUUUUUUUUUUGUCACUUUUCUAAGAUGGUCUUCUCUGGGUUAAAUUUGAAAUGAAGAGGUAAAAAGUAUAUAUAAGUUUGUUUGGAACGGUAAUUGGGUGGAUGUUUGGAAUAUAUGGCUUGCAUUAUUUUGCUCUUUUGUUGUUGAAUUUUCCACAGCAUAAUGAGCACAUUUAUGAAUUAACUAGGAGUAGUUGUUUAUUCUCCCUCCGUUUAAAAAAGAAUAACCUACUUUGACUUGAUACAAAGUUUAAGAAAAAAAAAAAAACUUUUGAAUCUUGUGGCCUUAAAUUAAAGUUGUAUCAAAUGUACCAAAAUGUCUUUUAAUUUUGUGGCCCUAAAUAUGUCAUUCAUGUGUAAAGUUAAAAUUAAAGUAUUAUAAAAAAAGUAAAAAAAUCAUUCAUUUUGAAACGGACUAAAAAGAAAAGUAAUCUCGGAGUAAGCUCUUUUCCAUG